RNAcentral lists this ribosomal RNA (494 nucleotides) under uncultured bacterium. RNAcentral's name for it is "partial 16S ribosomal RNA". It matches the Rfam family "Bacterial small subunit ribosomal RNA", at positions 28 to 507 of the family's 1533-position model. The record is from RNAcentral.
GACGAACGCUGGCGGCGCGCUUAACACAUGCAAGUCGAACGGAAAGGCCUGCUUUCCCUUGUGGAUUGCGGGUACUCGAGUGGCGAACGGGUGAGUAACACGUGAGUGAUCUGCCCCCAACUUGGGUAUAAGCCUGGGAAACUGGGUCUAAUUCCCGAUAGGACUGCAGGGUGGUGCCUGUGGUGGAAAACGAUUUUCUAGUGGUUGGGGAUGAGCUCGCGGCCUAUCAGCUUGUUGGUGGGGUAAUGGCCUACCAAGGCGGCGACGGGUAGCCGGCCUGGGAGGGUGGACGGCCACAUUGGGACUGAGAUACGGCCCAGACUCCUACGGGAGGCAGCAGUGGGGAAUAUUGCACAAUGGGCGGAAGCCUGAUGCAGCGACGCCGCGUGGGGGAUGACGGCCUUCGGGUUGUAACCUCCUUUCGACCGCGAGGAAGCCACCUGGUUGGAAGGGUGGUGACGGUAGUGGUAGAAGAAGCACCGGCUAACUACGUG